This 302-nucleotide unclassified non-coding RNA is filed under the name Hevea brasiliensis (rubber tree). The record is from RNAcentral. Lineage: Eukaryota; Viridiplantae; Streptophyta; Magnoliopsida; Malpighiales; Euphorbiaceae.
UAAAAUCACAGACCAAAAUAAAUCUGUAGGUAAAUACCGACUAUUCACUGACUAAUAAACGAUUAAAUGAAAUUAUUAAAUACUAAUUAUUUAUAGCGAAUCAAUUACCGACUAUAUACCUAGAAUCUUUUACCGACUAAAAUCAUUUAGUCGCUAAUUAUGGCAUUAAGUUGGCCCGCAAAUUAUAGCUACUAAUGUGGGCGCUUUACCGACCAAACUUUAGUCGGUACCUUAUUGGGAAAAAAUAAAUAAUAUAUAAAUAAUUUAGUAGCGACUAUCUGAAACUUAGUUGGUAAUAUGAA